RNAcentral lists this transfer RNA (72 nucleotides) under Drosera indica. RNAcentral's name for it is "tRNA-Met". It matches the Rfam family "tRNA". Rfam says of the family: Transfer RNA (tRNA) molecules are approximately 80 nucleotides in length. Their secondary structure includes four short double-helical elements and three loops (D, anti-codon, and T loops). Further hydrogen bonds mediate the characteristic L-shaped molecular structure. tRNAs have two regions of fundamental functional importance: the anti-codon, which is responsible for specific mRNA codon recognition, and the 3' end, to which the tRNAs corresponding amino acid is attached (by aminoacyl-tRNA synthetases). tRNAs cope with the degeneracy of the genetic code in two manners: having more than one tRNA (with a specific anti-codon) for a particular amino acid; and 'wobble' base-pairing, i.e. permitting non-standard base-pairing at the 3rd anti-codon position. Lineage: Eukaryota; Viridiplantae; Streptophyta; Magnoliopsida; Caryophyllales; Droseraceae. The record is from RNAcentral.
GCGGAGUAGAGCAGCCUGGAAGCUCAUGAGGCUCAUAACCUUAAGAUCACGGGUUCAAAUCCCGUCUCCGCG